AUCAACUACAUUCUCUCCAAGGUAAAACUAACACACGUCUUGAUGAGAUCGGGAUAGCCAGGGAACCUAAAACUAUACCCUUUAUCACCCAAAAAGAGAAUGUUUGCUUAGUCUGUACAAUAGUCAUAGCAUCCUAGGAAUAAUGUUAGCAUAUUUACGUACUCGCGCAGACAGCAUGGCUGGUUUUCAUCACCCUGGAGACCCCUACUUCCCUAAUCAGGGAAACAACGGGUGGCUAGAGGAGGAGGAGCCUGAGGAAGAGUCUGAAGAGGAACCUGAGGAGGAGCAGCAGGGUAUCCAGUUUCAUCAGGUACUAGUAGCUCACGGGAUGCUUGUGGAUGAGCCGGGAGAGAAUCCAGGGGAAGCACACGACGUCGGACCCGACGAAUACAUAGACACUGACUACGAAUUUGGAGAGCUCGACGAUGAUGACAAAGACGGCCAGGUCGGGGACCAGGACCCCGUCCUGCCAUGCGAGAACGAGGCACAACCAGAUCACCCCGCUCCACCAGUGAACCCCCCAAGAGAGAACCGUUCCCUCGAAGCUGAGAUCGCCGCACUGCGACAACAGCUGUAUGCUAUGGAAGCUCGGGCAGUGCGAGCAGAGCAUGAGAGGGAUGAGGUUAUUGGAGACAUGGCAGAGAUGGUGCAGCUACUGGCGCAACAUUUCGGCAUAUGACCUCGGCACCACCUCCUGACGCAGCUCAUCGCGGUUAGGGAUAGACUUAUCAUAGUAGGUCAUUAGGAACUAUGUUAUGUACUCCGGCUCUAUGUUUAAGUGACUACACUACUCAUGGAGCCGUUAUGCUGUCGGAUUAGUGUCACAUAUGUAUGCUCCUACGAGCAAAUUUCCUUGUAUUAAAUGCGGAUAAUAUUAAUGAACUUUUGUGUGUUUUGCUAUGAUAUUACCAGUUGUUAUGUGUUGAGACGUUAUGAUUGUAUGUCCGAUGGUAGCAAUGUCUAAGUUCGUACCAUACACCUAGUUAGUAGGAUCACAACCUCACAGAAACCACAUACACUCAACAUCUUUCCGUUUCAUGACAGAAAGAUGCCUCGCCGAGCUACUCGCGGAAAUCCCGAACCAACCCCGCCCGAAGUUGACACCACUGCUUUCCAGGCAGCCGUGUCUGCUGCGGUCACAGCAGCUAUGGCACAACUUCACCGAGGGAACAACGGAGGAGGUAACGGGCAAGGAUCCGGAAGUUCGAACAACGGGACGAACCAAGGACCCACUAAAACGUGCACCUACAAGGAUUUUGCGAACGCCAAACCCCGAACUUUCAACGGCACUGGAGGAGUGAUCACCCUAAAGCGAUGGAUCGAGAAGGUAGAGUCGGUAUUCGAGAUAUGCGAGUGCCCCGAGCAGAUGAAGGUGAAGUUCGCGGCCUGCACUUUUGUGGACCAAGCACUCACUUGGUGGAAUGGACACGUGGAAGCUAUGACGCUCCCUGUCGCCAACUCUAUCCCAUGGGCAGAAAUGAAAGAAAUGUUAAUGGCUGAGUACUGCCCCCGAGGCGAAAUACAAAAGAUGGAGCAAGAGCUAUGGAACCUCACUGUGCAGAAUGCGAACAUCGAUGCCUACAUAUCGAGAUUUAGCGAACUAUCUCUGUUGUGCCCGGGUAUGAUCACAUCAGAAGGAAAGAAGAUCGAACGAUUCAUCUGGGGACUGACACCCCCCAUUCAAGGGAAUGUGAUAGCUGCGAACCCUGAAACGUUUGACAGUGCGAAGAGAUUGGCAAAGAGGCUAUAUGAUCAUAACAACAAGAAGGGCGAGAAACCAGUGGAGACUGAGAAGAAGAAGGAGGGUGAUGGUAAGAAAGGAUGGAACAACAAGAGAAAGGGGCGUCAGGGCCCCGAGACCUCUAAAAAGCAGCAAACAGUGGCAGUUAACGCUGUCACUGCGCCGGUUCCAGUCACCUCACAUGCUCCAGCCUCAGCUGCUUCAAAUGCUUCAAGACCCUAUUCCGGUAAUUUUCCCAAGUGCAAUAAGUGCGGUUUCCAUCACCAUGGAGAAUGUAAGGAGUUCCAUUGCACCAGUUGCAACCGAAGGGGACACACUGCAAGGUUCUGCAGGACUUAUCCUUCUCAGAACCAGAGUCAGGGAAACAACCAGAACAACAACAACAACCACCGCAAUAUCAACAACACCAAUGCCGGCGGCAACAACGCAGGGCCUAGCCACACCUGUUUCGGGUGUGGAAGGACGGGGCAUUUCCGUCGAGAUUGCCCUAACAACAACAACUCAGGAAACAGAGGAGCAGGAAGAAUGCUGACUAUGGGUCAGAGUGAUGCAGUUCAGGACCCCGCAGUUGUGACCGGUACGUUCCUCCUAAACCACACUUAUGCAUGCAUCUUAUUUGAUACCGGAGCGGAGCGAAGUUUCGUAAGCGAGAAGUUUAAACAUUUAUUAAAACAACAACCCCAGAAGCUAAAUGAAACCUAUACGGUGGAAAUGGCCAAUGGGAAAACCGAAUCCACUAGGGAGAUCUACAUCGGAUGUACCCUAACCCUCAACCAACACGUCUUACGAAUAGAUCUGAUGCCAGUAUCAAUUAGGAGUUUCGAUGUGAUUAUCGGCAUGGAUUGGUUAAGCCCCCACCAUGCUGAGAUUAUGUGCCACGAGAAGGCCGUUCGCCUUCGUCUCCCAAAUCACGAAACCCUAGUAAUUUACGGAGACAAACCCAGUACGAAUCUUCGUCUCAUCUCGUGCAUCAAAGCACAAAAACACUUGCGAAAGAACAAUUUGGCGUUCUUGGCUCACAUAGUGGACAAGACCAAAGAAGAAACUAACAUCCAAGACAUUCCAGUAGCGUGUGAAUUUCCGGACGUGUUUCCCGAAGAUCUUCCAGGAGUACCCCCAGAGAGACAGGUUGAGUUCCGAAUCGACCUCGUUCCAGGAGCAACUCCUCUCGCUAAAUCACCAUAUCGGUUGGCACCUGCUGAAAUGCAGGAAUUGUCCAGCCAACUCAGUGAGCUUCUGGACAAGGGAUUUAUCCGACCUAGCUACUCGCCAUGGGGAGCUCCGGUGCUCUUUGUCAAAAAGAAGGACGGAUCUUUCAGAAUGUGCAUCGAUUACAGAGAGUUGAACAAACUCACUGUUAAAAACCGCUACCCACUCCCGCGAAUCGAUGAUCUAUUCGACCAGCUCCAAGGAGCUAGCUAUUUUUCUAAAAUAGAUCUACGGUCCGGAUACCAUCAACUCAAGGUCCGAGAAGAAGAUAUUCCUAAAACCGCUUUCCGAACCCGCUAUGGACAUUAUGAAUUCGUCGUAAUGCCCUUCGGUCUAACAAAUGCACUCGCCGCAUUUAUGGACCUAAUGAAUCGAAUCUGUCGACCGUUCCUGGACAACUUCGUCAUUGUGUUUAAAGAUGACAUCCUCGUCUAUUCUCAAAACAAAGAGGAGCGUGGCCAACAUCUCCGACAGAUCCUAGAAACUCUGCGAACGGAAAAGCUGUACGCCAAACUCUCCAAGUGCGAGUUCUGGCUCCGGAGUGUGAAUUUCCUAGGCCACGUAGUUAGCCAAGACGGAAUUCAUGUGGAUCCCUCUAAGGUCAAAGCUGUGGAAGGAUGGGCAACUCCGACUACGCCCACAGAAAUUCGUCAGUUCUUAGGCCUAGCAGGCUACUAUAGGAGAUUCAUCCAAAACUUCUCAAAAAUCGCCAAGCCACUUAC
Molecule: long non-coding RNA, 3672 nt
Filed under: Lactuca sativa (garden lettuce)
Lineage: Eukaryota; Viridiplantae; Streptophyta; Magnoliopsida; Asterales; Asteraceae
Description: long non-coding RNA (LSAT_LNC006302)
Source: RNAcentral